This 1804-nucleotide long non-coding RNA is filed under the name Pogona vitticeps (central bearded dragon). RNAcentral's name for it is "lncRNA (ENSPVIG00000020824.1)". The record is from RNAcentral. Lineage: Eukaryota; Metazoa; Chordata; Lepidosauria; Squamata; Agamidae.
CUAGGAGAAAGAAGUAAGAAUGACGGCAGGAAGGUGUGGGUGUUGUUUUGCAGUACUUGCUAAUAAUUAGCUGUCCUGUUGUGGAAGGCUGGGAUGAGCUGUGUUAAUGAUAUAGCUUAAUGAAAAUGACAGGAGACUGGCAAAAAAGGGGUGGACAGGGAGGGGAACAUCUUGUCUGAAUUAGUGCGACAGCUGGUGUCUUGAGAAACUGGCUGAAUGAACUGUGUUGUCCCAGAGGAAGUGGGAGCUGAUGGGGAAGCUAUUCAUGAUUUUUUUCAUAGACCUUAAAAUGUAGUUGUGCGCUAUUUUAUUUUUUAUUUAAAACAUUUGUAGCUUAUUCUCUAUUGCAGGAUCUCAGGAUGGGUUACAAAACUGCAUGAAGCAAUUUUUAAAAAUAAAAAAAAACUAUUUAAAGUCAGACCAAUUAAAACAUAACUUUAAAGCAUUAAAACCAAAAUCUGUACAGCCCACACAGCCCUUAACAAGGCAGAAGGUUCUAUAGCUUGUGUGUGUGUGUGUUUGUUUGUUUGUUUCCUGAGAACCUCUAUUCUGAAUUGAAGAAUGCUACUUUACGCCUGUAUGGAUAGUGGCCUCUAAUCAGAAGCGUCUUUUUCUUCCUGGUUCCUUCUCUGCAGUUGCUUUUCUUCAGCUGCGACUUAGCUGGUCUCCUUCCCAGCUUUUACAGGGAUGGUUCUAGCAUUGCAUCAGGGGAUAUUUUAUGCUGUAAUUCAGUAACGCAGCCAGGAUAAGCGAUCACAGAACUGCUGCUUAAGGGGAUGGGCGUGGUGAGCUGAGCUGCGUGGAUGCAGCAGCAACAGCACCAACGGCCGAGGCACGGUUGGCCUGUAUGUGUCCGUUCUUUCCAAGAAGUGAUCUCCCAGGUUAGGGGUUCCUCAGCCAAGGCAAAGGAUGGUCUGGAUAUUCAGCCAGUCGGUAGUCUUAUUGGACUCUGGAUCAAAGUCACAGGUGACCUCACUGCUUCAUUUGCUACCAGCCUCCUUCCAACCUCUAGUUUAAACAGAUGCCUUUGAUUAUGCUCUUGGUUUUGAAGAGAAUGCUGACGGUUUUAAUUUCCACAGUCAAGCCUAUAUUUAAGUGGAGGGGCCUAAGUUCUGUGGUUAUCUCAGUGGUUACCUUUUCUCCUACAAGGAGACAGAUGGGCCUGGACCCAAACCCGUAGUAAUCCAAGCAUCCUGAUUUGGCAGUGUCGAAUCUCAUGAGAGCGUCUAUUGUGAAGGGAGGAGCACGUGUUCUGAAUGUGAGAGCUUGCCAGCAGUGGAAAGCCAAUCCAGAGCUAUCCUUCACGUCCAGUAUGGUUUAAAAAUCCUGAUAGCAGUUUGCCAGAUUUUAAAAUGUAAGUUGAAACUGUCAGUCAGACAACACAUAAGUCUGCCAAGGAAUAUUUAAUUGGGAACAAGUGGAGAAGCUCCUUUUUACACUAGAAAAAAAAAGAAACCUUAUGGCUUCUUACAGUAAAUUUGAUGCAUCAAGCUUGGCUUUUAUGUCCUUAAUGAAAAGCCAGGUCUGAAUAAUUCAUGACACUAAUUCAAACUUGGGGGUUUAUGAAGGAACUCUGACUUGGAAAAGGCUGCAGCCUGGCCUUCCUUUGUGUUCCGCUUUCCCCUGUCAUGGUCUGGGUAUCCAAAUGUGUAAGCGUGACAUCAUAGGUCAGGGGCUGAACUUCCACGCGUUUUCAUCCUUACUCAGUCUCUGAAAUAACCAUGAGGCUUAAUGUGAACCUGCUGUUCACGUUGACGGCGUCCAUUUUAGAUCUUCCAAGAGACUUUCUUAGGGGUUUCACCAG